RNAcentral lists this ribosomal RNA (122 nucleotides) under Schizosaccharomyces cryophilus. Lineage: Eukaryota; Fungi; Ascomycota; Schizosaccharomycetes; Schizosaccharomycetales; Schizosaccharomycetaceae. The record is from RNAcentral.
GUCUACGGCCACACCUAGGCGAAAACACCAGUUCCCGUCCGAUCACUGCAGUUAAGCGUCUGAGGGCCUCGUUAGUACUAUGGUUGGAGACAACAUGGGAAUCCGGGGUGCUGUAGGCUUUU